AUACCACCCCUGUGGUUUCGCACUUUUUCACUUUAGUACCCUGUGGUUUAAAGUGUAUCAAGUUAGCGUCCUGUAGUUUCAUUUUUGUUUUUUCGUUAAUUUUUCUAUUAAUAUUUCGUGAAAUUACAUACAAAAAACUUUAAUUACUCCACCUGGGUUUAUCGAGUAUUCACUUAUUUAGUACCCUUUAGUUUUAACUUUGUCAUUUAUUUAAUGAAAAAAAUUAGUAGAAUCGAUAAUAAAAAGAUAAAAAUAAAAUCACAUGACACUAAAUUGAUACACUUUAAAUCACAUGGUACUAAAGUGAGAAAAUGUGUAACCACUAGGUGACUAGGGUGAUAUUUGAAGUUUUUUUUAAAAAAAAAAAAGGUUGGGGACUCAAGUGGAAAAUAUUAAUGAUGCAAAGGUUGGGGACGAGCGAUGUAAUUAA
This 430-nucleotide long non-coding RNA is filed under the name Ananas comosus (pineapple). RNAcentral's name for it is "long non-coding RNA (ACOM_LNC002349)". Lineage: Eukaryota; Viridiplantae; Streptophyta; Magnoliopsida; Poales; Bromeliaceae. The record is from RNAcentral.